ACCUGGCUGGCUCAGUCUGUAGAGCAUGUGACUCUUGAUCUCAGGGUCAUGAGUUCAAGCCCCACGUUGGGCA
Molecule: transfer RNA, 73 nt
Filed under: Ailuropoda melanoleuca (giant panda)
Lineage: Eukaryota; Metazoa; Chordata; Mammalia; Carnivora; Ursidae
Rfam family: tRNA
About the family: Transfer RNA (tRNA) molecules are approximately 80 nucleotides in length. Their secondary structure includes four short double-helical elements and three loops (D, anti-codon, and T loops).
Source: Rfam by way of RNAcentral